Molecule: ribosomal RNA, 200 nt
Filed under: uncultured bacterium
Lineage: Bacteria
Description: partial 16S ribosomal RNA
Rfam family: Bacterial small subunit ribosomal RNA
Source: RNAcentral
AUUGAACGCUGGCGGCAUGCUUUACACAUGCAAGUCGAACGGCAGCGCGGGGCAACCUGGCGGCGAGUGGCGAACGGGUGAGUAAUAUAUCGGAACGUACCCUGGAGUGGGGGAUAACGUAGCGAAAGUUACGCUAAUACCGCAUACGAUCUAAGGAUGAAAGUGGGGGAUUCGCAAGAACCUCAUGCUCCUGGAGCGGC